UGAAUGUGCUCGUGACAUCAUAUGCUUGU
This 29-nucleotide non-coding RNA is filed under the name Homo sapiens (human). The record is from RNAcentral. Lineage: Eukaryota; Metazoa; Chordata; Mammalia; Primates; Hominidae.